Molecule: ribosomal RNA, 253 nt
Filed under: uncultured bacterium
Lineage: Bacteria
Description: partial 16S ribosomal RNA
Rfam family: Bacterial small subunit ribosomal RNA
Source: RNAcentral
UACGUAGGUGGCAAGCGUUAUCCGGAUUUAUUGGGCGUAAAGGGAACGCAAGCGGUCUUUUAAGUCUGAUGUGAAAGCCUUCGGCUUAACCGGAGUAGUGCAUUGGAAACUGGGAGACUUGAGUGCAGAAGAGGAGAGUGGAACUCCAUGUGUAGCGGUGAAAUGCGUAGAUAUAUGGAAGAACACCAGUGGCGAAAGCGGCUCUCUGGUCUGUAACUGACGCUGAGGUUCGAAAGCGUGGGUAGCAAACAGG